UGAAGCGCGCGGCGGGCGGGGCGGGGGACGGGGCGCAGCAGGCGCGAAAACUCCGCAAUACACGAAAGUGUGACGGGGCUAUCCCGAGUGCCAUCCGCUGAGGGUGGCUUUUCCCCAGUGUAUAAGGCUGGGGGAAUAAGGAGAGGGCAAGCCUGGUGUCAGCCGCCGCGGUAAUACCAGCUCUCCGAGUGGUGGGGAUGCUUAUUGGGCCUAAAGCACUCGUAGCCUGCUUGGCAAGUCCUCCGUUAAAUCCAACGAUUCAAUCGUUGGGCUGCGGGGGAUACUGUCCGGCUAGGGGGCGGGAGAGGCCGACGGUAUCCUCGGGGUAGGGGUGAAAUCCUAUAAUCCCGGGAGGACCACCAGUGGCGAAGGCUGUCGGCUAGAACGCGCUCGACGGUGAGGGAUGAAAGCUGGGGGAGCGAACCGGAUUAGAUACCCGGGUAGUCCCAGCUGUAAACGAUGCAGGCUAGGUGUUGGCGCGGCUACGUGCCGCUCCAGUGCCGCAGGGAAGCCGUUAAGCCUGCCGCCUGGGAAGUACGGCCGCAAGGCUGAAACUUAAAGGAAUUGGCGGGGGAGCACCACAAGGUGUGAAGCUUGCGGUUUAAUUGGAGUCAACGCCGGAAAUCUCACCGGGGGCGACAGCAGAAUGAAGGUCAGAUUGAAGGUCUUACCAGACAAGCUGAGAGGAGGUGCAUGGCCGUCGCCAGUUCGUGCCGUGAGGUGUCCUGUUAAGUCAGGCAACGAUCGAGACCCGCGUCCCCUGUUGCCACCGGCCUUGAGCCGAGCACACUGGGGAGACUGCCGCCGAUAAGGCAGAGGAAGGAGCGGGCCACGGCAGGUCAGUAUGCCCCGAAUCCCCCGGGCUACACGCGAGCUGCAAUGGCAGGUACAGAGGGUACCGACUCUGAAAGGAGAAGGAAAUCCCGAAAGCCUGCCGUAGUUGGGAUCGAGGGUUGAAACUCACCCUCGUGAACAUGGAAUACCUAGUAACCGCGUGUCACUACCGCGCGGUGAAUACGUCCCUGCUCCUUGCACGAAUUCGCCGA
Molecule: ribosomal RNA, 1046 nt
Filed under: uncultured crenarchaeote
Lineage: Archaea; Thermoproteati; Thermoproteota
Description: bacterial SSU rRNA
Rfam family: Archaeal small subunit ribosomal RNA
Source: RNAcentral